Molecule: ribosomal RNA, 470 nt
Filed under: Blastocystis sp.
Lineage: Eukaryota; Bigyra; Opalinata; Blastocystidae
Description: SSU rRNA
Rfam family: Eukaryotic small subunit ribosomal RNA
Source: RNAcentral
CAAUAAAUCACAAUGCGGAACUUCUGUUUUGCAAUUGGAUUGAGAACAACGCACAACACUUAUCGAUAAACAAUUGGAGGGCAAGUCUGGUGCCAGCAGCCGCGGUAAUUCCAGCUCCAAUAGCGUAUAUUAACGUUGUUGCAGUUAAAAAGCUCGUAGUUGAAGUGAAGUGUGAAUCUUUUGGAUUUUCGUUUGAAUUUCCUUUAGCUUCAUACUCUUUCCAAAUAGUUUGCAUGGGUAUUUACUUAUCUGUGUAUUGCAUUUGGUCAUUUACUGUGAGAAAAUUAGAGUGUUCAAAGCAUACGUUUGUUUGAAUACAUUAGCAUGGAAUAAUUCGAAAAGGCUUUCAUGUUCGAUUUGAUUGGUUUGUUCGUGAAGGCAAGAUUAAAAGGGACAGUUGGGGGUAUUCAUAUUCAAUAGUCAGAGGUGAAAUUCUCGGAUUUAUGGAAGAUGAACAAGUGCGAAAGCAA